CAGAAGCUGUUCCUCGCCCUGGAUUCUUUUAGGCCGGAGAAGAACAAUUUCGAGGCCAUGAUUUCUUAUUAUGAAGAUUACUACAGAUACCAUUCUCUGGAAGAGGAAAACCUGAAAGAUUUUCUGCUUUGGUACACCAUCGAGAACAUCGCCGAUGACGAGAACAUCCCCAAUUAUUU
This is a long non-coding RNA of Xenopus tropicalis (tropical clawed frog), 179 nucleotides long. RefSeq lists it as uncharacterized. The record is from RefSeq and is a predicted model, not a curated record. NCBI's taxonomy places the organism in Eukaryota, Metazoa, Chordata, Amphibia, Anura, Pipidae. The transcript is spliced from 3 exons.